ACGCUGGCGGCGUGCUUAACACAUGCAAGUCGAACGAUGAUGCCCAGCUUGCUGGGCGGAUUAGUGGCGAACGGGUGAGUAAUACGUGAGUAACCUGCCCUUGACUCUGGGAUAAGCCUGGGAAACUGGGUCUAAUACUGGAUACUACCUCUUACCGCAUGGUGGGUGGUGGAAAGGGUUUUACUGGUUUUGGAUGGGCUCACGGCCUAUCAGCUUGUUGGUGGGGUAAUGGCUCACCAAGGCGACGACGGGUAGCCGGCCUGAGAGGGUGACCGGCCACACUGGGACUGAGACACGGCCCAGACUCCUACGGGAGGCAGCAGUGGGGAAUAUUGCACAAUGGGCGGAAGCCUGAUGCAGCGACGCCGCGUGAGGGAUGACGGCCUUCGGGUUGUAAACCUCUUUCAGUAGGGAAGAAGCGAGAGUGACGGUACCUGCAGAAGAAGCGCCGGCUAACUACGUGCCAGCAGCCGCGGUAAUACGUAGGGCGCAAGCGUUGUCCGGAAUUAUUGGGCGUAAAGAGCUCGUAGGCGGUUUGUCGCGUCUGCUGUGAAAGCCCGGGGCUCAACCCCGGGUCUGCAGUGGGUACGGGCAGACUAGAGUGCAGUAGGGGAGACUGGAAUUCCUGGUGUAGCGGUGAAAUGCGCAGAUAUCAGGAGGAACACCGAUGGCGAAGGCAGGUCUCUGGGCUGUUACUGACGCUGAGGAGCGAAAGCAUGGGGAGCGAACAGGAUUAGAUACCCUGGUAGUCCAUGCCGUAAACGUUGGGCACUAGGUGUGGGGGACAUUCCCACGUUUUCCGCGCCGUAGCUAACGCAUUAAGUGCCCCGCCUGGGGAGUACGGCCGCAAGGCUAAAACUCAAAGGAAUUGACGGGGGCCCGCACAAGCGGCGGAGCAUGCGGAUUAAUUCGAUGCAACGCGAAGAACCUUACCAAGGCUUGACAUUCACCGGACCGCCCCAGAGAUGGGGUUUCCCUUCGGGGCUGGUGGACAGGUGGUGCAUGGUUGUCGUCAGCUCGUGUCGUGAGAUGUUGGGUUAAGUCCCGCAACGAGCGCAACCCUCGUUCUAUGUUGCCAGCACGUGAUGGUGGGGACUCAUAGGAGACUGCCGGGGUCAACUCGGAGGAAGGUGGGGAUGACGUCAAAUCAU
This 1151-nucleotide ribosomal RNA is filed under the name uncultured Micrococcaceae bacterium. RNAcentral's name for it is "bacterial SSU rRNA". It matches the Rfam family "Bacterial small subunit ribosomal RNA", at positions 33 to 1193 of the family's 1533-position model. The record is from RNAcentral. Lineage: Bacteria; Bacillati; Actinomycetota; Actinomycetes; Micrococcales; Micrococcaceae.